GUGGGGAAUAUUGGACAAUGGGCGCAAGCCUGAUCCAGCCAUACCGCGUGGGUGAAGAAGGCCUUCGGGUUGUAAAGCCCUUUUGUUGGGAAAGAAAUCCUGUCGGUUAAUACCUGGCGGGGAUGACGGUACCCAAAGAAUAAGCACCGGCUAACUUCGUGCCAGCAGCCGCGGUAAUACGAAGGGUGCAAGCGUUACUCGGAAUUACUGGGCGUAAAGCGUGCGUAGGUGGUGGUUUAAGUCCGUUGUGAAAGCCCGGGGCUCAACCUGGGAAUUGCAGUGGAUACUGGAUCACUAGAGUGUGGUAGAGGGAUGCGGAAUUUCUGGUGUAGCAGUGAAAUGCGUAGAGAUCAGAAGGAACAUCCGUGGCGAAGGCGGCAUCCUGGGCCAACACUGACACUGAGGCACGAAAGCGUGGGGAGCAAACAGGAUUAGAAACCCCGGUAGUCC
This 450-nucleotide ribosomal RNA is filed under the name uncultured bacterium. RNAcentral describes it as "bacterial SSU rRNA". It matches the Rfam family "Bacterial small subunit ribosomal RNA", at positions 354 to 796 of the family's 1533-position model. The record is from RNAcentral.